GAAAAGCCACCGACCGGUCCGUGCCAAAGCCCGAGGCCCCGGCAUCAGCAGCGCCGAGAGCUCCAAGCCGAGGUGCCCGCCCCACCGCCGCCACAGGCGAGCCGCGCUCCGGCCUCCUCGGAGAGCAGCGCCUGCCUGUCCGGAGCCGCCCCGGCCGUUGCCCGCUCCUCAUACCUGUCCAGUCCACCGAGCGCCUCCCUCUCUUCGGCUGUCAGGCUAGGGGACGCCUCCUCGCUCUCGCCGCUCGCUUUUCCCGCCGCCAUUUUCUUUUCCUCAUCACCGAAAGCGGCGGCGGCGGCGGCAGUAGCGAGCGACACUCCGCAGGAUUUCAUGGAAACGUAGCGAAUUCACAACUCCAACGCCGACACCCCCCUCCCCGGACCGGAGCCCGCAAGGACGCUUUCAAUCUCCGCACGGGACCGGCACACCAACUUUAUCUCUGCCUCCUCCUCUGCCGCGAGAGGCGGCGGCGAAAAAUCCUAACGCGGUAGAGGUGAAGGCAGCGGCCG
Molecule: long non-coding RNA, 509 nt
Filed under: Rattus norvegicus (Norway rat)
Lineage: Eukaryota; Metazoa; Chordata; Mammalia; Rodentia; Muridae
Description: long non-coding RNA NONRATT030415
Source: RNAcentral